This 150-nucleotide unclassified non-coding RNA is filed under the name soil metagenome. RNAcentral describes it as "partial internal transcribed spacer 1". The record is from RNAcentral.
CCGAGUUUACAACUCCCAAACCCCUGUGAACAUACCUUUAUGUUGCCUCGGCGGAUCAGCCCGCGCCCCGUAAAACGGGACGGCCCGCCGCAGGAAACCCUAAACUCUGUUUUUAGUGGAACUUCUGAGUAUAAAAAACAAGGUAAAUCA